RNAcentral lists this ribosomal RNA (498 nucleotides) under uncultured bacterium. RNAcentral describes it as "bacterial SSU rRNA". It matches the Rfam family "Bacterial small subunit ribosomal RNA", at positions 28 to 517 of the family's 1533-position model. The record is from RNAcentral.
GACGAACGCUGGCGGCGUGGAUUAGGCAUGCAAGUCGAACGGUAGGAUACCUUCGGGUAUCUGAGAGUGGCGAACGGGUGAGUAACACGUAGGUGAUCUACCCUCAAGAUUGGGACAACCCAGGGAAACUUGGGCUAAUACCGGAUGAAAGCAGCAGCGAUGUUGUUUGAAAGGUGGCGUAAGCUGCCGUUUGGGGAUGAGCCUGCGCUCUAUUAGUUAGUUGGCGGGGUAAAGGCCCACCAAGGCGAUGAUAGAUAGGCGGCCUUAACGGGUGGUCGCCCACACUGGGAUUGAGAUACGGCCCAGACUCCUACGGGAGGCAGCAGUCGAGAAUAGUCUACAAUGGCCGAAAGGCUGAUAGUGCGACGCCGCGUGAACGAAGAAGCCCUUCGGGGUGUAAAGUUCUUUUAUAUGUGAGCAGUGCUUUCUAUGUGAACAGCAUAGGGAGAGAGAUAUUAGCAUAUGAAUAAGCAACGGCUAACUCCGUGCCAGCAGCCG